AGAGUUUGAUCAUGGCUCAGAACGAACGCUGGCGGGUUAACACAUGCAAGUCGAGUGCGCGCCUGUAGCAAUACAGGUGGCGCACGGCGCACGGGUGCGUAACACGUGGGUAACCUGCCCUUUGGUGGGGAAUAACUCCGCGAAAGCGAAGCUAAUUCCGCAUAAGAUCCGCAAGGAUGAAAGCCGAAAGGCGCCGAUGGAGGGGCCGCGCACGAUUAGCUAGUUGGUAGGGUAAUGGCCUACCAAGGCUUUGAUCGUUAGCUGGUCUGAGAGGAUGGCCAGCCACACUGGAACUGAGACACGGUCCAGACUCCUACGGGAGGCAGCAGUGGGGAAUCUUGCACAAUGGGCGAAAGCCUGAUGCAGCGACGCCGCGUGGGGGAUGAAGCUUCUCGGAGUGUAAACCCCUUUCGAUCCGGACGAAUGCCCGCAAGGGAUUGACGGUACGGAUAUAAGAAGCCCCGGCUAACUACGUGCCAGCAGCCGCGGUAAUACGUAGGGGGCCAGCGUUGUUCGGAAUUACUGGGUGUAAAGGGUUCGUAGGCGGUGCGGCAAGUUGGGAGUGAAAUCUCUGGGCUCAACCCAGAGGCUGCUUCCAAAACUGCCGUGCUUGAGUGUGGGAGAGGCUCGUGGAAUUGCAGGUGUAGCGGUGAAAUGCGUAGAUAUCUGCAGGAACACCCGUGGCGAAAGCGGCGAGCUGGACCACUACUGACGCUGAAGAACGAAAGCUAGGGGAGCAAACAGGAUUAGAUACCCUAGUAGUCC
This 765-nucleotide ribosomal RNA is filed under the name uncultured bacterium. RNAcentral describes it as "bacterial SSU rRNA". It matches the Rfam family "Bacterial small subunit ribosomal RNA", at positions 8 to 796 of the family's 1533-position model. The record is from RNAcentral.